GAGUUUGAUCAUGGCUCAGAUUGAACGCUGGCGGCAGGCCUAACACAUGCAAGUCGAGCGGAUGACGGGAGCUUGCUCCUUGAUUCAGCGGCGGACGGGUGAGUAAUGCCUAGGAAUCUGCCUGGUAGUGGGGGACAACGUUUCGAAAGGAACGCUAAUACCGCAUACGUCCUACGGGAGAAAGCAGGGGACCUUCGGGCCUUGCGCUAUCAGAUGAGCCUAGGUCGGAUUAGCUAGUUGGUGGGGUAAUGGCUCACCAAGGCGACGAUCCGUAACUGGUCUGAGAGGAUGAUCAGUCACACUGGAACUGAGACACGGUCCAGACUCCUACGGGAGGCAGCAGUGGGGAAUAUUGGACAAUGGGCAAAGCCUGAUCCAGCCAUGCCGCGUGUGUGAGGAAGGUCUUCGGAUUGUAAAGCACUUUAAGUUGGGAGAAGGGCAGUAAGUUAAUACCUUGCUGUUUUGACGUUACCGACAGAAU
RNAcentral lists this ribosomal RNA (481 nucleotides) under bacterium enrichment culture clone ALO1_GLFRUDD03G669S. Its description in RNAcentral is "bacterial SSU rRNA". It matches the Rfam family "Bacterial small subunit ribosomal RNA", at positions 9 to 487 of the family's 1533-position model. The record is from RNAcentral.